RNAcentral lists this ribosomal RNA (253 nucleotides) under uncultured bacterium. Its description in RNAcentral is "partial 16S ribosomal RNA". It matches the Rfam family "Bacterial small subunit ribosomal RNA", at positions 524 to 776 of the family's 1533-position model. The record is from RNAcentral.
UACGGAGGGUGCGAGCGUUGUCCGGAAUCACUGGGCGUAAAGGGCGCGUAGGCGGCUUCUCAAGCGUGUGGUGAAAGUCCGGGGCUCAACCCCGGAUCGGCCGUGCGGACUGGGGAGCUCGAGUUCUGUAGAGGCGGGUGGAAUUCCGGGUGUAGCGGUGGAAUGCGUAGAGAUCCGGUAGAACACCGGUGGCGAAGGCGGCCCGCUGGGCAGAGACUGACGCUGAGGCACGAAAGCCAGGGGAGCAAACGGG